AUCUGGGCGGCGGAAUUCAGGAUGGCGGGCGCGUCUUCGCGGGCGCGUUCGUCGUUUGAUAUUUCCGUCGCCGACUCAACCCGCAGACGUCGCGACCUGUUCGCGGUCGGUCCUUGCUCGGAGGAGUCACGUUCGAGUUUGUUGCGUGCGCGUUUCUGCGCGUUACGCGGCAAAGGCGUGAAUCUCUGGCUGGCCGUCGGACAGUACGCUCAACGGUGUCCGAUGUCGUCGUCUCGUACGCGCGCGCAUCGGUACCGGUCGGCGACGAAUUCUUCGGGCCUCUUUCCGACCCGUCUUGAAACACGGACCAAGGAGUCUAACAUGCGCGCGAGUCGCGGGGUGUCGAGCGUACUACGGUGCGUUCGUUACGUUGCGAAACCCGUACAUGUCGAAGGCGUAAUGAAAGUAAAUGGGGAAGAUGGUGUUCCGAGUACACGUUCCGCGGUCAUUGGUACCGCGGCCGGACACCCGCAUUCCCGGGGCGUCUCAACGGCCCGUCGCGGAUGCGGGCAGUCGUCUCUCGGGGCGGCUGUCGGUCUGCGACGAACCGA
This 551-nucleotide ribosomal RNA is filed under the name Parlatoria sp. D2960A. Its description in RNAcentral is "LSU rRNA". The record is from RNAcentral. Lineage: Eukaryota; Metazoa; Arthropoda; Insecta; Hemiptera; Diaspididae.